This 498-nucleotide ribosomal RNA is filed under the name uncultured bacterium. RNAcentral describes it as "SSU rRNA". It matches the Rfam family "Bacterial small subunit ribosomal RNA", at positions 26 to 518 of the family's 1533-position model. The record is from RNAcentral.
AGAUUGAACGCUGGCGGCGUGCUUAACACAUGCAAGUCGAGCGGUAACGCGGGAGCAAUCCUGGCGACGAGCGGCGAACGGGUGAGUAAUGCUUGGGAAUCUGCCCAUUAGUGGGGAACAACCAGCCGAAAGGUUGGCUAAUACCGCAUACGCCCUACGGGGGAAAGCGGGGGAUCGAAAGACCUCGCGCUAAUGGAUGAGCCCAAGUCGGAUUAGCUUGUUGGUAGGGUAACGGCCUACCAAGGCGACAAUCCGUAGCUGGUCUGAGAGGACGACCAGCCACACUGGGGACUGAGACACGGCCCAGACUCCUACGGGAGGCAGCAGUGGGGGAAUAUUGGACAAUGGGGGCAACCCUGAUCCAGCGACGCCGCGUGUGUGAAGAAGGCCUGCGGGUUGUAAAGCACUUUUAGUGGGGAUGAAAAGCUCAGGGUUAACACCUCUGGGUCUUGACCUAACCCACAGAAAAGCACCGGCUAACUCUGUGCCAGCAGCCGC